GCGCCCAGAGUCAUGGCAGAGU
Molecule: microRNA, 22 nt
Filed under: Monodelphis domestica (gray short-tailed opossum)
Lineage: Eukaryota; Metazoa; Chordata; Mammalia; Didelphimorphia; Didelphidae
Description: mdo-miR-12372-5p
Source: miRBase by way of RNAcentral